AUGUGGAGGCUCCCAGGCGCCCGCGCCGCGCUUCGGGUGAGCCGGACGGCGGUGGAGAAGCUGAGCCGGGCUGAAGCGGAGAGCCAGACAGCGGCGGGAGCGAUGGAGCGCGCUGUACUGCGCUGUGUACCCUCGGAACCCAAGCUGAGCCUGUCAUUCGCUUUGGCUGAUGGUAGCCACAAGAACAUGCAGCGCGACCAGAUCGAGCCGCUGGGUCGAGUCCUCAGCCGCAUCGCUACCAAUGCCCUAAAGGGUCACGCUAAGGCGGCCGCCGCCAAGAAGAGCAGGAAGAGCCGGCCGAAUGCGAGCGGCGGUGCGGCCUGUUCAGGGCCGGGACCCGAGCCAGCUGUGGCCUGCGAGCCCGUGGUGAAGCUGUACUACCGGGAAGAGGCAGUGGCUGAGGACGUGCUCAACGUGGAUGCCUGGCAAGAAGGCGCGGUGAUGUUAAGUACAAGGUGGAGCGCAACCCGCCCGCCUUCACCGAACUGCAGUUGCCGCGCUACAUCAUGGCCGGGUUCCCUGUGUGCCCCAAACUCAGCCUCGAAUUUGGGGAUCCCGCCAGCUCCCUUUUCCGCUGGUAUAAGGAAGCCAAGCCCGGAGCCGCGGAGCCCGAGGUCGGUGUCCCCUCGUCAUUGUCUCCCUCCUCACCUUCUUCUUCUUGGAUUGAGACUGAUGUGGAGGAGCGCGUCUACACCCCGUCCAAUGCGGACAUCGGGCUAAGGCUCAAGCUUCAUUGCACCCCAGGCGAUGGGCAGCGCUUUGGGCCCAGCUGGGAGUUGGAAAGUGUAUGUGUGAUAGAGGCUGGGCCUGGCACCUGCACUUUUGACCACCGGCAUCUCUACACGAAGAAGGUGACGGAGGACGCUCUCAUCCGCACUGUCUCUCACAACAUCCUGGCAGACACGUACGCGCAGACUGAGUUCUCGCGAAGGGUUCUGUACCCAUACUGCGCCCCCUACGCCCUGGAGCUCGACUACCGCCAGAACCUUAUCCAGAACCUUAUCCAGAAGGAACUCACCGGCUACAACGCCGAUGUCAUCUGUUUGCAGGAGGUUGACUGCGCAGUGUUUUCUGACAGCCUGGUACCCGCCUUAGAGGCCUUCGGGCUCGAGGGGGUGUUUCGAAUCAAGCAGCACGAAGGCCUGGCCACUUUCUACCGAAAGUCUAAGUUCAGCCUUCUUAGCCAGCAUGAUAUUUCAUUCUACGAAGCCCUCGAGUCCGACCCACUUCACAAAGAACUGCUGGAGAAACUAGUUUUGUACCCAUCAGCGCAGGAGAAGGUGCUCCAGAGAUCUUCUGUUCAGGUUUCAGUUCUUCAGUCUACAAAGGACUCUUCUAAAAGGAUAUGUGUUGCUAAUACCCAUCUUUACUGGCAUCCUAAAGGUGGGUAUAUUCGCCUCAUUCAAAUGGCAGUAGCCUUGGCUCACAUUAGACAUGUUUCAUGUGAUCUGUAUCCUGGCAUACCAGUUAUAUUUUGUGGGGACUUUAAUAGUACACCAUCAACAGGAAUGUAUCAUUUUGUCAUCAAUGGCAGCAUUCCAGAGGAUCAUGAAGACUGGGCUUCCAAUGGGGAGGAGGAAAGAUGCAACAUGUCUCUUACGCAUUUCUUCAAUCUGAAAAGUGCUUGUGGUGAACCUGCUUACACAAAUUAUGUUGGUGGCUUUCAUGGAUGUCUAGAUUACAUUUUCAUUGACUUAAAUGCUUUAGAGGUUGAACAGGUGAUUCCAUUACCUAGUCACGAAGAAGUUACCACCCGCCAGGCCUUACCUAGUGUUUCCCAUCCCUCUGAUCACAUAGCACUUGUAUGUGAUUUAAAAUGGAAAUAGAUGUGUGUUUAAUGGAAUUGAAGUCUGAAAAGGAAGUAGUUGUUUUAGCAGAAAAUUUAAUAUGAAUCAAAGCUUAUAUGUAACCUUCAAAGAGGAAUGGUAAAAUGUUCAACCCUCAUAGUUAUGUUACCAGUCUUCGUUAUGAAACUGUUGAUAAUGUUUGCAUCAUACAUCUUCUCUUUCCUUGUUUUCCUCUACAAUUGGAGGAGAAACAAAUAUAUUUAUUACUAUCAAAAUAGAAAAUUGAAUAAUUUUUCUCCAACUUGAGACUCUCAGAAAAGGAAGAUUGAAUUAUCAUGUUUUUUGUUUGUUUGUUUUUGUUUUUGUUUUUUUUUUUGAGAUGGAGUUUCACUCUUGUUGCCCAAGCUGGAGUGCAAUGGCACAAUCUCGGCUCACUGCAACCUCUGCCCCCUGGGUUUAAGCCAUUCUCCUGCCUUAGCCUCCCAAGUAGCUGAGAUUACAGGCAUGCGCCACCACACCUGGCUAAUUUUUGUGUUUUUAGUAGACAUGGGGUUUCGCCAUGUUGGCCAGGCUGGUGUCGAACUCCUGACCUCAGGUGAUCCACCCGCCUCGGCCUCCCAAAGUAUUAGGAUUACAGGCGUGAGCCACCACGCCUGGCCCUUGUGUACAUUUUUAUAAGAGAAUUUUUUUAGCUAGUAGUUCAGAAUUUUUAAAGUACCAUUUGAAUUAUCUUAAUUUUUCUUUCAUGACAACACAUUCCAAAAUGAAUCAUGCUUAUGUACUAAGAGGGAAAAUGUAUAUAAGUUAAGGGUGAGAGACUUAAGUUAUAGGUGACCUUAGAGACCUAAGGUGAGAGACUUGACACAUGGAAGGAGUAACAUUAGGGUCUACCUCUACCUCAAUUUAGUUAGCGAUUUACUACAAUUUCAGAGCUUUAACAAAAGAUAAAAAUAAAUCGUCACCAAUUGUUA
This is an RNA transcript of Nomascus leucogenys (northern white-cheeked gibbon), 2758 nucleotides long. It is a transcript of the gene named 2',5'-phosphodiesterase 12 pseudogene, with no coding region annotated. The transcript has a single exon. Lineage: Eukaryota; Metazoa; Chordata; Mammalia; Primates; Hylobatidae. The record is from RefSeq and is a predicted model, not a curated record.